GAUGAACGCUAGCGGCAGGCUUAACACAUGCAAGUCGAGGGGUAUAGUUCUUCGGAACUAGAGACCGGCGCACGGGUGCGUAACGCGUAUGCAAUCUACCUUUUGCAGAGGGAUAGCCCAGAGAAAUUUGGAUUAAUACCUCAUAGUAUGUGAGAAUGGCAUCAUUUUCACAUUAAAGUCACAACGGCAAAAGAUGAGCAUGCGUCCCAUUAGCUAGUUGGUAAGGUAACGGCUUACCAAGGCAACGAUGGGUAGGGGUCCUGAGAGGGAGAUCCCCCACACUGGUACUGAGGCACGGACCAGACUCCUACGGGAGGCAGCAGUGAGGAAUAUUGGACAAUGGGCGCAAGCCUGAUCCAGCCAUGCCGCGUGCAGGAUGACGGUCCUAUGGAUUGUAAACUGCUUUUGUACAGGAAGAAACACUGGUUCGUGAACCAGCUUGACGGUACUGUAAGAAUAAGGAUCGGCUAACUCCGUG
RNAcentral lists this ribosomal RNA (478 nucleotides) under uncultured bacterium. Its description in RNAcentral is "bacterial SSU rRNA". It matches the Rfam family "Bacterial small subunit ribosomal RNA", at positions 28 to 507 of the family's 1533-position model. The record is from RNAcentral.